RNAcentral lists this ribosomal RNA (483 nucleotides) under uncultured bacterium. RNAcentral's name for it is "partial 16S ribosomal RNA". It matches the Rfam family "Bacterial small subunit ribosomal RNA", at positions 28 to 523 of the family's 1533-position model. The record is from RNAcentral.
GACGAACGCUGGCGGCGUGCUUAACACAUGCAAGUCGAACGAUGAAGCUGGAGCUUGCUCCGGUGGAUUAGUGGCGAACGGGUGAGUAACACGUGAGCAAUCUGCCCUUGACUCUGGGAUAACUGCGGGAAACUGUAGCUAAUACCGGAUAUGAGGCUUGGAGGCAUCUCCAGGUCUGGAAAGAAUUUCGGUCAAGGAUGAGCUCGCGGCCUAUCAGCUAGUUGGUGAGGUAAUGGCUCACCAAGGCGACGACGGGUAGCCGGCCUGAGAGGGUGACCGGCCACACUGGGACUGAGACACGGCCCAGACUCCUACGGGAGGCAGCAGUGGGGAAUAUUGCACAAUGGGCGAAAGCCUGAUGCAGCAACGCCGCGUGAGGGAUGAAGGCCUUCGGGUUGUAAACCUCUUUUAGCAGGGAAGAAGCGAAAGUGACGGUACCUGCAGAAAAAGCACCGGCUAACUACGUGCCAGCCGCCGCAGUAA